This is a long non-coding RNA of Raphanus sativus (radish), 1613 nucleotides long. RefSeq lists it as uncharacterized. NCBI's taxonomy places the organism in Eukaryota, Viridiplantae, Streptophyta, Magnoliopsida, Brassicales, Brassicaceae. The record is from RefSeq and is a predicted model, not a curated record. The transcript has 3 exons.
AUACAUUGAAUAAAAAAUAUUUUCUGCACAUUGUGCAGGAAAACACCUAGUAGUGACUAUAUAUGUUGUUAUGUGUACGAAGAAUAAUACUUGAAUAAAUAUGUCGUGUGCGAAUAUUAAUAUAUAAUUAAGUGUUACUUUUGUCUUGUUCCCCAUAUCAUAUGUUCAAAAAGAGCAGAUGGCGGAUUUAGUAUGUGAGAAUAUAAUUUCCCAAAAAAUUGGAUAGAACCUAAAUGAUAUAUAAAAGAUAUGUAUUAGUUCACAGUUGAAAAUAUAUGAUAUUUAACAUAUAGUAGUAUUAGAAUCUGAUGUAUAUCCGAGCUGAAAUUGGUUCGGUCUAUAAAAAAUUAGCCAAUCGAUUUUAAUUGAUAUCGACCUAACCCAAAUUAGUCUGGCCAAUUUAACCUAUAAUUAUCCUAUACGAUGUAAUGAUCAUCGAUAUAAGUGGAUAGACAUAUUCUUAUUACAGGGGGUGAUGGAAAUAUUCCUCAUGGAAAUUGUAAAUAAGAAAGGGAGAGAAACAGAGUGAAACAUGGCGAGAAGUUGAUGCAAUUAACUAUGCUAAAAAAGUUUGCAGACAAGUGUAUCAGGAACAAGCUUAGUCUGGUCAGAUUGAAGGGGAAAAAAGGCCCAAUCAUUGUUUUCGGAGGGCUAGUAGUUUGAAGAUUUGAGGAUCACUUAGAACAGAUUAAAUUUAAGGAGGAUGAACUAGCAGUCUAGCAUCAUGGAAAAGUGAUGGAGAAUUGACCAAAGCAUCCAACGAUCAAGCAUAGUGGCAAGAGUCAAUUUCCAAGGAUUCGAAGGGCUUAAUCAUCCUAUAAAUGUUGGUACCUGUGUAGACUGACUAUGUGGAGAUUAUUAUGAAGUUCGCGUAAGUGUGUUCAAGGCUCUCAUAUAUACAUUUUGAUACAUCAAAGACUAAAUCCACCCAUAUGCAUCAUUCGUCGUGUAUCAUUAAUUGCUGCAUAAGAAUCAGAAUAUUGUCAAUGGUGUGAAGCUGUACGUGGUGAAUAACCAUUUUCAUAUCCAAGAACAAGACUGAAUAAGCCUCUUAAUCCGAACAAGUAUAAGUACCAAAGACAUGGAAGAAUAAUAGCGCCAUGAAACAAGAGAUGGAAUCCAUUGUAAAAGUUAGAAUGAAUAAGAUGGGACAUAUAGGAUUUACAGGUAAACGAACCUGACACUACACAAGCAUAGGGACUUAAAAUCAUAUUUAUAACCAAAAACAAUAGCACAGUUUCUUUGACUAAAAAUAACACAAUCCAUAGCAGGAACAGCCUGUGUAACUGAAGAUAUGCCACUGAUUAAACUGCAAGACUAGUAUAAUAUGUACCAUUACAGAAACGCCAUAGAAGUUUAGUGAACAAAGAAACAUAGAGAGCUUCACAAUGUUCAAUUGGAGGCACAAGCUAUUCUUCAGCUAUCUGAUACAUUAUUGUAAUAUCAACUUUUUAUUUAUUUUUGAAUUGUUAUAUAUCAAACUUUUAGCAGAACUGGAUUCUCAAAGUGUAGACUUAAACGACACUAGUCACAGUAAUUAAUUUCAUUUAAGGACCAGUAAAGUCAAUGAUAAGUAAGAGGUCCAGUUUCAUUUAACUCAGCUGAAGUAACAA